Molecule: non-coding RNA, 218 nt
Organism: Pelobates cultripes (western spadefoot toad)
Lineage: Eukaryota; Metazoa; Chordata; Amphibia; Anura; Pelobatidae
Source: the annotation of a GenBank genome assembly
AACAAAUUGAACGGUGAGGUCCAUGUUCUGGGAAAUUGCCCUUAACAUAGACAAGCGCAGCAGAGCAGGAAAUCACUCAAAUCUAUGUUCGGGUAACGUUCCCCGAACAUAGACCAGCUCUAUAACGUGGGGAAUCCUUUGAAUCCCCACGCUAGAGAGCUGGUCAAAAGCAUGGCCGGUGCAAGGACUUUUUGGUACACAGACGAAGAUUCAUCUUG